Stegodyphus dumicola is the source of this 447-nucleotide long non-coding RNA. Lineage: Eukaryota; Metazoa; Arthropoda; Arachnida; Araneae; Eresidae. The record is from RefSeq and is a predicted model, not a curated record.
GCAUGCUUAAAUUGUUUCUAUUGCUAGUCUUCGCAUAUGGUAGCUUUUCGAAAGGAAUAACAAAUUUCGCGGUAAUUUCUUAGGGGUAAAAUUCCGACUGUAGUUGUAUUUAUGGCGUCCGAAACGUCUGACAUUCCAAAAUCUGUUGUUCUAAAAUCAACAAAAGAAGACUGCCUUUCGUGCCGGCUGAUUGGUGGCACUUCACUUCUCCUUGCAAGUGGAUAUGUAUUAUAUCGUGGUAAACAAGCAAAACUGAGAAGUACAAGAGUAGUGUCAUUGGUAUUUGCAUCGAGUUUAGGAUACACAGGCAUUGCGAGAUUACUGGGCAUAUAUCCUUUCAACAUAAAAUCAAACACUGAAGCAUAAAAAAAUGUAAAAUUUAAAUAUAUGUGUAUAUACGUGUAAAUUACGCUAGUUAAAUAAAAUCUGUACUAUUUUACGAGUUAA